RNAcentral lists this transfer RNA (74 nucleotides) under Clostridium sp. RNAcentral describes it as "tRNA-Arg". It matches the Rfam family "tRNA". Rfam says of the family: Transfer RNA (tRNA) molecules are approximately 80 nucleotides in length. Their secondary structure includes four short double-helical elements and three loops (D, anti-codon, and T loops). Lineage: Bacteria; Bacillati; Bacillota; Clostridia; Eubacteriales; Clostridiaceae. The record is from RNAcentral. RNAcentral also lists the same sequence under 1 other name.
GCACCCAUAGCUCAAUUGGAUAGAGCGUUGCGCUACGGACGCAAAGGUUGAGGGUUCGAUUCCUUCUGGGUGUA